UGUGAGGUUAAGCGACUAAGCGUACACGGUGGAUGCCCUGGCAGUCAGAGGCGAUGAAGGGCGUGCUAAUCUGCGAUAAGCGCCGGUAAGGUGAUAUGAACCGUUAUAACCGGCGAUACCCGAAUGGGGAAACCCAGUGUGACUCGUCACACUAUCAUUAACUGAAUCCAUAGGUUAAUGAGGCGAACCGGGGGAACUGAAACAUCUAAGUACCCCGAGGAAAAGAAAUCAACCGAGAUUCCCCCAGUAGCGGCGAGCGAACGGGGAGGAGCCCAGAGCCUGAAUCAGCAUGUGUGUUAGUGGAAGCGUCUGGAAAGGCGCGCGAUACAGGGUGACAGCCCCGUACACAAAAGCGCAUGUGCUGUGAGCUCGAUGAGUAGGGCGGGACACGGUGUAUCCUGUCUGAAUAUGGGGGGACCAUCCUCCAAGGCUAAAUACUCCUGACUGACCGAUAGUGAACCAGUACCGUGAGGGAAAGGCGAAAAGAACCCCGGCGAGGGGAGUGAAAAAGAACCUGAAACCGUGUACGUACAAGCAGUGGGAGC
This 545-nucleotide ribosomal RNA is filed under the name Salmonella enterica subsp. enterica serovar Heidelberg. RNAcentral's name for it is "bacterial LSU rRNA". It matches the Rfam family "Bacterial large subunit ribosomal RNA", at positions 1 to 580 of the family's 2925-position model. The record is from RNAcentral. Lineage: Bacteria; Pseudomonadati; Pseudomonadota; Gammaproteobacteria; Enterobacterales; Enterobacteriaceae.